RNAcentral lists this ribosomal RNA (454 nucleotides) under Streptococcus mitis. RNAcentral's name for it is "bacterial SSU rRNA". It matches the Rfam family "Bacterial small subunit ribosomal RNA", at positions 28 to 468 of the family's 1533-position model. Lineage: Bacteria; Bacillati; Bacillota; Bacilli; Lactobacillales; Streptococcaceae. The record is from RNAcentral.
GACGAACGCUGGCGGCGUGCCUAAUACAUGCAAGUAGAACGCUGAAGGAGGAGCUUGCUUCUCUGGAUGAGUUGCGAACGGGUGAGUAACGCGUAGGUAACCUGCCUGGUAGCGGGGGAUAACUAUUGGAAACGAUAGCUAAUACCGCAUAAGAGUAGAUGUUGCAUGACAUUUGCUUAAAAGGUGCAAUUGCAUCACUACCAGAUGGACCUGCGUUGUAUUAGCUAGUUGGUGAGGUAACGGCUCACCAAGGCAACGAUACAUAGCCGACCUGAGAGGGUGAUCGGCCACACUGGGACUGAGACACGGCCCAGACUCCUACGGGAGGCAGCAGUAGGGAAUCUUCGGCAAUGUACGGAAGUCUGACCGAGCAACGCCGCGUGAGUGAAGAAGGUUUUCGGAUCGUAAAGCUCUGUUGUAAGAGAAGAACGAGUGUGAGAGUGGAAAGUUCACG